This 443-nucleotide ribosomal RNA is filed under the name uncultured bacterium. RNAcentral describes it as "partial 16S ribosomal RNA". It matches the Rfam family "Bacterial small subunit ribosomal RNA", at positions 338 to 795 of the family's 1533-position model. The record is from RNAcentral.
CCUACGGGGUGCAGCAGUGGGGAAUAUUGGGCAAUGGGCGAAAGCCUGACCCAGCAAUGCCGCGUGAAUGAAGAAGGCUUUAGGAUUGUAAACUUCUGUUCUCUGGGAAGAAAAAAGUGACGGUACCAGACGAGGAAGCCCCGGCUAACUACGUGCCAGCAGCCGCGGUAAUACGUAGGGGGCGAGCGUUGUCCGGAUUUAUUGGGCGUAAAGAGAGCGUAGGCGGGACUGCAAGUCUGAUGUGAAAAACCUGGGCUUAACUUAGAGGUUGCAUGGGAAACUGUAUAGCUUGAGUGCAGGAGAGGCAAGCGGAAUUCCGAGUGUAGCGGUGAAAUGCGUAGAUAUAAGGAGGAACACCAGUGGCGAAGGCGGCUUGCUGGACUGAAACUGACGCUGAGGCUCGAAAGCGUGGGGAGCAAACAGGAUUAGAUACCCUGGUAGUC